This is a long non-coding RNA of Musca domestica (house fly), 965 nucleotides long. RefSeq lists it as uncharacterized. The transcript has 3 exons. NCBI's taxonomy places the organism in Eukaryota, Metazoa, Arthropoda, Insecta, Diptera, Muscidae. The record is from RefSeq and is a predicted model, not a curated record.
CAAAGAAGAGAAGGUAGGUCAACUUUGAAAAAAUUGCAAGUAUAGAGGUCUACCUGUUUGGCUUGUAAUGUCAGAAAUAGUAUCAAAACAAUAACAAAAUCAAACAACUUGUUGCAUUUAUUUUGAAUAAAUAAUUGAAAACCGCGAAAACUGAAUGAAAGGUCAACACUUCUUUUCGAAACCAGGUUCCAUGGUAGAAUUACAAGGUAACCCUUUCAGGCCAGCUGUAGUCAACUUGAUAUGUCAAACAAGUUGUUGUAAUUCGAAUUCGCCGUAGAAAUACAUAACAGAAAUUCAAACAUCAUAGAGGAAAAAAUAAACACAAAAAUAUAAAAAUCAAAUUUUGUGAUAUAAUUCAAAUAAAAAAAACAGAAUAUGAGGUGCUGUGCUGUUUGCAAAAGAAAGGAUAGUGAACGACAAGCAACAUUUUUCAAUGUACCCAAGGGAGAGACGAAGAGGUUGAAGUGGAGUGCGAUUUGUGGGAUCACUUUAAACCCAAACGCCAAAAUAUGUUCUCAUAACUUCAACCCAAAGUAUAUAACGGGCAUAAGUUGUAGAAUGAAAAUAUUACCAUGCGCUGUACCAGAGAUGUAUCAAUUCUAAUUCUAUGGUGGUUCAAAAAAGAAAUGUCCAGGCGGAGCCCAAUGCAAAGAAGUCGGGAGGAUGCUUCAGUGUGAGGCUGGAAUAAAUAAAAAUGACAAAGAAGUUGUUAUGCCCUACCAUAUCACAUAUCUUAUGCAAAGAAGCAACAACAUCAACUUAACGGAUAAAGCUAAAGAGCUUUUUUUCAAAUGCCGAAUAUUUUUUAGGGUUAGGCAACUAAAUAGACGACUCAAAGUUAAGAAAGCGAAACAGCGGAUCAUGACCAAUAAAAAAUUUUUCAAAAUAAAAUUAUGAACUUCAUUUAACGAUCAUCAUUUAACCGUCAUCCAGACCUUUGAGAAAAUUUUGACCAAAAACGCCCC